AUUGAACGCUGGCGGCAGGCCUAACACAUGCAAGUCGAGCGGAUGAAGGGAGCUUGCUCCUGGAUUCAGCGGCGGACGGGUGAGUAAUGCCUAGGAAUCUGCCUGGUAGUGGGGGAUAACGUCCGGAAACGGGCGCUAAUACCGCAUACGUCCUGAGGGAGAAAGUGGGGGAUCUUCGGACCUCACGCUAUCAGAUGAGCCUAGGUCGGAUUAGCUAGUUGGUGGGGUAAAGGCCUACCAAGGCGACGAUCCGUAACUGGUCUGAGAGGAUGAUCAGUCACACUGGAACUGAGACACGGUCCAGACUCCUACGGGAGGCAUCAGUGGGGAAUAUUGGACAAUGGGCGAAAGCCUGAUCCAGCCAUACCGCGUGUGUGAAGAAGGUCUUCGGAUUGUAAAGCACUUUAAGUUGGGAGGAAGGGCAGUAAGUUAAUACCUUGCUGUUUUGACGUUACCAACAGAAUAAGCACCGGCUAACUUCGUG
This 484-nucleotide ribosomal RNA is filed under the name uncultured bacterium. RNAcentral's name for it is "partial 16S ribosomal RNA". It matches the Rfam family "Bacterial small subunit ribosomal RNA", at positions 30 to 507 of the family's 1533-position model. The record is from RNAcentral.